CUCACUUUCUACCUUUUCCUCCUCCGUUUCAUUCCUUCUUUUUUCUUCAUUGAAAACUACGAACACUCCGCCAUCAAAACGCAGAAUAACUUCACACACGAUACGCGAAACGACACCGCCAUCGGACGUGCUCUUUCUCAGCUUCUUUCUGCAUUAAACGAUAUUCCAGUUAGUUCAAGAAAAUACGAAGUUGUUCGAUCGUUAACUGAGAAGAUUAUCGACGAUAAUCACCUCGAUGGUGUUCAUUCGUUACGUGAGGUUAACCGUGUUGCUUUGUCUUCAGCGUUUGGGAGGGCGUUGGGGCAGUUGG
Molecule: long non-coding RNA, 310 nt
Filed under: Medicago truncatula (barrel medic)
Lineage: Eukaryota; Viridiplantae; Streptophyta; Magnoliopsida; Fabales; Fabaceae
Description: long non-coding RNA (MTRU_LNC007972)
Source: RNAcentral